This 497-nucleotide ribosomal RNA is filed under the name uncultured bacterium. Its description in RNAcentral is "partial 16S ribosomal RNA". It matches the Rfam family "Bacterial small subunit ribosomal RNA", at positions 28 to 507 of the family's 1533-position model. The record is from RNAcentral.
GAUGAACGCUUGCGUCGUGCCUAAUACAUGCAAGUCCAGCGAACAGACGAGGAGCUUUCUCUUCUGACGUUAGCGGCUGACGGGUGAGUAACACGUGGAUUACCUAUCUAUAAUCCUGGAAUAACUUCGGGAAACCGGAGCCAAUACCGUAUCAUAUAUUGUACCGACUGGUUCAAUAGACAAUGACGGUUUUGCUGUUACUUAUAGAUGGAUCCGCGCCGCAUUAGCUAGUUGGUAAGGUAACGGCUUACCAAGGCAACGAUGCGUAGCCGACCUGAGAGGGUGAUCGGCCACACUGGAACUGAGACACGGUCCAGACUCCUGCGGGAGGCAGCAGUAGGGAAUCUUCCGCAAUGGGCGAAAGCGUGACGGAGCAACGCCGCGUGAGUGAUGAAGGUCUUCGGAUCGUAAAACUCUGUUAUUAGGGAAGAACAAAUGUGUAAAAAAAUAUGCACGUCUUGACGGUACCUAAUCAGAAAGCCACGGCUAACUACGUG